Molecule: small RNA, 107 nt
Filed under: Marmota monax (woodchuck)
Lineage: Eukaryota; Metazoa; Chordata; Mammalia; Rodentia; Sciuridae
Source: RNAcentral
ACUGGGUGUGGUGGCAUAUGCCUGUAAUCCCAGAGACUGGGGGAGCUGAGGCAGGAGGAUUGCAAGUUUUAGGCCAGCCCCAGCAGUUUAGCAAGAUCCUGUCUCAA